Molecule: long non-coding RNA, 350 nt
Organism: Asterias rubens (European starfish)
Lineage: Eukaryota; Metazoa; Echinodermata; Asteroidea; Forcipulatida; Asteriidae
Exons: 3
Source: RefSeq, a predicted model, not a curated record
AUGACGAAGACUCCCUUUUCAACCGAUUUCUUUUCAGACAUUUAUCUACUUUUAACGGACAGUUUCGUGGCUAGACUUGCUGCAAAACGGAUACUGGUUAUUCACUGGUUGAAGAGCAGUAUCUAUCAUGGACAAAAGCUUCCUUCAUGAGGAGAUGUUUUUAUUCAGCUCAACUUGGAUUGUCAUAUUUGGGACAGCUAGGCCCUAUGCCUCACUUCUUCCUUUUCUAAGGCUAUUUACUGGUUGAAGAGCAGCAUCUAGCAUGGACAAAAGCUUCCUUCAUGAGAAGAUGUUUUUAUCAAGUUCAACUUGGAUUGUCAUAUUUGGGCAGCUUUGCAUCACUCCUUCCU